This 253-nucleotide ribosomal RNA is filed under the name uncultured bacterium. Its description in RNAcentral is "partial 16S ribosomal RNA". It matches the Rfam family "Bacterial small subunit ribosomal RNA", at positions 524 to 776 of the family's 1533-position model. The record is from RNAcentral.
UACGUAGGGACCAAGCGUUGUUCGGAUUUACUGGGCGUAAAGGGCGCGUAGGCGGCAUGACAAGUCACUUGUGAAAUCUCCGGGCUUAACUCGGAACGGCCAAGUGAUACUGUCACGCUAGAGUGCAGAAAGGGCAAUCGGAAUUCUUGGUGUAGCGGUGAAAUGCGCAGAUAUCGGGAGGAACACCAGUAGCGAAGGCGGCUCGCUGGGCCAUUCCUGACGCUGAGACGCGAAAGCUAGGGGAGCGAACAGG